This 530-nucleotide ribosomal RNA is filed under the name uncultured Alphaproteobacteria bacterium. Its description in RNAcentral is "partial 16S ribosomal RNA". The record is from RNAcentral. Lineage: Bacteria; Pseudomonadati; Pseudomonadota; Alphaproteobacteria.
GCCGCGGGAAUUCGAUUCGUAUUACCUCGGCUGCUGGCACGGAGUUAGCCGGAGCUUAUUCUCCCGGUACUGUCAUUAUCAUCCCGGGUAAAAGAGCUUUACUACCCUAAGGCCUUCAUCACUCACGCGGCAUUGCUGGAUCAGGCUUGCGCCCAUUGUCCAAUAUUCCCCACUGCUGCCUCCCGUAGGAGUCUGGGCCGUGUCUCAGUCCCAGUGUGGCUGAUCAUCCUCUCAGACCAGCUAAGGAUCGUCGGCUUGGUAGGCCUUUACCCCACCAACUACCUAAUCCUACGCGGGCUCAUCCCUGGCCGAUAAAUCUUUGGUCCGAAGACAUCAUCCGGUAUUAGCAGUCAUUUCUAACUGUUAUUCCGAAGCCAAGGGCAGAUUCCCACGCGUUACGCACCCGUGCGCCACUAACCCCGAAGGGUUCGUUCGACUUGCAUGUGUUAGGCAUGCCGCCAGCGUUCGUUCUGAGCCAUGAUCAAACUCUAAUCACUAGUGAAUUCGCGGCCGCCUGCAGGUCGACCAUA